Molecule: ribosomal RNA, 497 nt
Filed under: uncultured bacterium
Lineage: Bacteria
Description: partial 16S ribosomal RNA
Rfam family: Bacterial small subunit ribosomal RNA
Source: RNAcentral
GACGAACGCUGGCGGCGUGCCUAAUACAUGCAAGUUGAGCGAUGAAGAUUGGUGCUUGCACCAAUUUGAAGAGCAGCGAACGGGUGAGUAACGCGUGGGGAAUCUGCCUUUGAGCGGGGGACAACAUUUGGAAACGAAUGCUAAUACCGCAUAACAACUUUAAACAUAAGUUUUAAGUUUGAAAGAUGCAAUUGCAUCACUCAAAGAUGGUCCCGCGUUGUAUUAGCUAGUUGGUGAGGUAAAGGCUCACCAAGGCGAUGAUACAUAGCCGACCUGAGAGGGUGAUCGGCCACAUUGGGACUGAGACACGGCCCAAACUCCUACGGGAGGCAGCAGUAGGGAAUCUUCGGCAAUGGACGAAAGUCUGACCGAGCAACGCCGCGUGAGUGAAGAAGGUUUUCGGAUCGUAAAACUCUGUUGGUAGAGAAGAACGUUGGUGAGAGUGGAAAGCUCAUCAAGUGACGGUAACUACCCAGAAAGGGACGGCUAACUACGUG